AAAUUUUAUUGAAACUGGAAUUUUGUUGGAGAGAGUAGAGGUGAUUUGAAUGGAAAUUCGGUUUUGAUUUCUGACUUGUGGAAGGAUCGGAGGGCAGUUGUUGCAUUUGCUCGUCAUUUUGGAUGUGUCGUUUGUAUAAAACGAGCUGAUUUGCUUGCUGCUAAGAAGGAUAGGAUGGAUGCUUCAGGUGUGGCACUUGUCUUGAUUGGGCCCGGUAGCGUUGAUCAGACGUCUCAAAUCAGUUGGCUGGGAUAAAGAUUUGUUCAUGAAAGGUUCAAGUCCAUUUAACUAGGCUCAUGCUGAAGUGUGGUUGAUGCAUGUCCGAAAGGAAUGGGCCCAUCAGUGAAAACCAGAUUCUUUUUUACAUACAACUCACUGCCCAUGUACUUCCACCAAGAUGGUGAAGCCUCUGAUGACUUUCCAUGGUAACGUCGUUGUUUUCUGUCCAUACUUUUAAGCGGCACCAGAUCCCUCAUCGCGUGCAACUAUUCUAUAAGUUAAGGUAUCUCUAAGUUUCGGUUUCCUUUUUAACAAGAAAUAGCAACUCCUUCGCGAUUAAAUGGGUCGUGUUUGCGGGAUUAAUUGAACGCGAAACCAGACCCGUUUUGCCUGACCUUCUUUUACAUAUUAUGCACUUUAUUCAUAAAGAAAAUGCCUAAUGAUUUGUGAAAGUUGUACCACAUUUUAUUUUCUAAAACAAAAUUCAUAAUGAAUGAGCUGUGAAAUACUUAGGUUUUGAAUGGGAUCAUAUGUGACUAUGCCAUUUCUUAUGAUUA
This is a long non-coding RNA of Helianthus annuus (common sunflower), 776 nucleotides long. RefSeq lists it as uncharacterized. The record is from RefSeq and is a predicted model, not a curated record. Lineage: Eukaryota; Viridiplantae; Streptophyta; Magnoliopsida; Asterales; Asteraceae. The transcript has 6 exons.